This 1070-nucleotide long non-coding RNA is filed under the name Nicotiana benthamiana. RNAcentral's name for it is "long non-coding RNA (NBEN_LNC030388)". Lineage: Eukaryota; Viridiplantae; Streptophyta; Magnoliopsida; Solanales; Solanaceae. The record is from RNAcentral.
UGAAUUGUAAGUGUGUUAGUAAUGUAAGUUGAAGUUGUUGAACUGAAGGUUCAAGGUGGUCUGAGUGCAGAAGGGUCGUGCCCUUUUUAUAAAGUAAGAAAGGGUAAGAAAAUAGUUUGCAAUCAAUCACAUAAAAUCCUCCUUCAGUUAAGGGAUUUUGAUUUCAAAUGGGUAGAAGAUAAUUAAGGAAAGAAAUUUGAUUAAUAUCUUUUCCAAAGUAACAAAAAGAGUAAAUACAUAGGAGUUUAUUUAAGGGAAAGUCCAGUAGUACACAGUUUGUGACAAAUAAGGAAAGGUAAUCAAUCAAACAGUCAGUAGAAUCCAAAAUUACAGGCUUUGUCUGAAUGAACCAAGUCAGGAAAAGAAAGCAAGGGGUAACUUAAGGAAAAUCAAUAACAAUCAAUCAAACCUUACUAAAGAAUUCAAAAUCAAUCAAUAAUUGGCAAGACCUUUUUUGAAAGAAGAACUUCUCAUAUAUAAAGCACACAAAUAUCAAAAAGUGGGAGUUGUCAUGUUGGUUAGAAAAGAGUGUCAUAGAAACAAUUAUAAAAAGGUUCAGGUCCAAUCUAUAGACUCAAAAUGAGUCUGAGAGUUUGGGGUUUCAAAAUAGGAUCCUAGUCCAAACACAAAGUCGAACCUACUAAAGAAACCCCUCAAAUUCUAGGGUUUCAACUCGAAUCAAAUACAGAGAUGAGAGGACAAACUAUUGAAACAUACUAAGAGGUCUCUUUUAGAGAUUUGUGAGAAACCAACAAAUAUGAUAGCAGGUUCGAAACAACAAAGAAAGAAGGCUGAUUUAAGAGCAUAAAAGAGCAUGUUUUAAAAAAGUCGAAACUUAAGAAAGUUCAGAAGAAAAGAGGUGGUGUAAACUUAAGCAGUAGUAGAUGAAACAUGAUUAGAAAAAUUCGGACAAAGUCCAGUAAAGCAAACAAAAAUUAAAGAACUUAGCAAGAAACACAUAUGGUAGAAAUCAUGUAGGAAAACAUAGCAGAGAUAAUCAUGCGAGCCUGGUCUAGAGGCACAGUAAAAUACAGAUGUAUAGAAAAAUCAUGUAUAAUAGAAAGAAAAAC